UACGUAGGGGGCAAGCGUUGUCCGGAAUUAUUGGGCGUAAAGAGCGUGUAGGCGGUCCGGUAAGUCAGCUGUGAAAGUCAAGGGCUCAACCCUUGAAAGCCGGUUGAUACUGUCGGGCUAGAGUCCGGAAGAGGCGAGUGGAAUUCCCGGUGUAGCGGUGAAAUGCGCAGAUAUCAGGAGGAACACCAAUGGCGAAGGCAGCUCGCUGGGACGGUACUGACGCUGAGGCGCGAAAGCGUGGGGAGCAAACAGG
Molecule: ribosomal RNA, 253 nt
Filed under: uncultured bacterium
Lineage: Bacteria
Description: partial 16S ribosomal RNA
Rfam family: Bacterial small subunit ribosomal RNA
Source: RNAcentral